UACGUAGGGUGCGAGCGUUAAUCGGAAUUACUGGGCGUAAAGCGUGCGCAGGCGGUUUGCUAAGACAGGUGUGAAAUCCCCGGGCUUAACCUGGGAACUGCGCUUGUGACUGGCAGGCUAGAGUACGGCAGAGGGGGGUGGAAUUCCUGGUGUAGCAGUGAAAUGCGUAGAUAUCAGGAGGAACACCGAUGGCGAAGGCAGCCCCCUGGGCCUGUACUGACUCUCAUGCACGAAAGCGUGGGGAGCAAACAGGAUUAGAUA
Molecule: ribosomal RNA, 261 nt
Filed under: uncultured prokaryote
Description: partial 16S ribosomal RNA
Rfam family: Bacterial small subunit ribosomal RNA
Source: RNAcentral